UUGGAGCUGAUUCGGUACCAAAAUACGAAGAUUCGGAGACAAAAAUAUGUCUCCCCCAAAGUCAGAAGCUUGGCACGGCCCGUGCUAGCAUUGGCACGGCCGUGCCACCCUCCAGAGUCACUUUUGCUGCUUUUGCUUAGAUUUUAAGCUACUCUAUUUUAGCCCGCAGUUUCUUGUGGAACAUUCUAGUAAUGUAAUUGCUUAGAUUUUAAGUCGAAUGUAUGCUAUAAAUAGAGUAGCUAGCCAUCACAAAUAUUCAUCUUUUCUUGGAAUUCAAUAAGUGACAAUUGUCUUUCUAAUAAAAGUU
RNAcentral lists this long non-coding RNA (307 nucleotides) under Medicago truncatula (barrel medic). Its description in RNAcentral is "long non-coding RNA (MTRU_LNC004165)". Lineage: Eukaryota; Viridiplantae; Streptophyta; Magnoliopsida; Fabales; Fabaceae. The record is from RNAcentral.